UCAUUGUGAGAGCCCCAAGGACCUUCCAAGACCUUCAGAGCCAAUCACUGAUGCCUUGUCCCUUCUGGCCCAAGAUCCAGGAUAAUGAAGUCGACACCAAUCAAGAGCCCAGAUACACUGUCUGUGGAUUUUGCUAGUCAGUCAUGACAGCAGUACUUCAAGCGCAGCAUUCCGCUCCGCCAGGUCUCGGAUCUGCUCCUUCAGUACCUCAACCUCUUCUCGCACGGCAAACAUGAGGUGCGACUUCACCAAGUCCUGGGCCCCAGGGACAAACCAACCGUCAGGCCCUCCCAGGCCACCUCCAGGUGCCAUCUCCUACCCAGACUUCCGGAACCACUGGAGAAGACACGGAGAGGUACAAGUUGAGGAGGAGGAGCCCCAAGUCAGCUCUGCUACUGCCUUCUAGGUGCUCCUUGCUCUGAAAGCCCAGCCUACACCCCACCCCGUGCCCAAGGUACCUGUGACAGUAGAGGAUCAGGGGGAGGAGGCUUUUGUCCAUCCCCCGGCGGGGUGAAGGUCGCUGCCCAGGUCCCCCCAGGCCCUGGUGGGAAGGAGGUCCCAAUGCCCCUCGGAUGGGGGAUGACCCCCGUGGGGAGUUCGGGGAAGACACGCAGCCCCUUUUCCGGGGUGCCCCUGGCGCCAUCCCCACCACCCGCGUCUCAUACGAUGAUACCAAGGACUUCACAGAGACCCCUGGCUGGGACAUUCCUGAGGGGGAUCUGUACUAAGUCCAAGGUGACCCUUGCACGAGGCCCGGCUGUCAGAAAGGGAGCUGGGAAUUUUCCAUUUCCUGGCCAAGCUCUGAGUGCAGGAGGUGCUGACAGAGACACCAAAGAUGGACAGACGGACCAGAAUAGACGUGUCAGCCCUGCCUGGCGGACACUCAGGCCGAGAUGCCAAGUUAAAUCUUCUACCCUUGCCAGAAACAAAGGAAUAAUACAACCACCAGCAUUUGUUGGCUGA
Long non-coding RNA from Peromyscus eremicus (cactus mouse), 963 nucleotides. RefSeq lists it as uncharacterized. The record is from RefSeq and is a predicted model, not a curated record. NCBI's taxonomy places the organism in Eukaryota, Metazoa, Chordata, Mammalia, Rodentia, Cricetidae. The transcript has 5 exons.